UUCCUGGUGGCUCAGACGGUAAAGUGUCUGUCUGCAAUGCAGGAGACCCGGGUUCGAUCCUUGGCUUGGGAA
This 72-nucleotide transfer RNA is filed under the name Ovis aries (sheep). It matches the Rfam family "tRNA". Rfam says of the family: Transfer RNA (tRNA) molecules are approximately 80 nucleotides in length. Their secondary structure includes four short double-helical elements and three loops (D, anti-codon, and T loops). Lineage: Eukaryota; Metazoa; Chordata; Mammalia; Artiodactyla; Bovidae. The record is from Rfam by way of RNAcentral.